RNAcentral lists this ribosomal RNA (432 nucleotides) under uncultured bacterium. RNAcentral describes it as "partial 16S ribosomal RNA". It matches the Rfam family "Bacterial small subunit ribosomal RNA", at positions 29 to 506 of the family's 1533-position model. The record is from RNAcentral.
AACGAACGCUGGCGGCAGGCUUAACACAUGCAAGUCGAACGGAUCCUUCGGGAUUAGUGGCAGACGGGUGAGUAACGCGUGGGAACGUACCCUUUGCUACGGAAUAACUCAGGGAAACUUGAGCUAAUACCGUAUGUGCCCUACGGGGGAAAGAUUUAUCGGCAAAGGAUCGGCCCGCGUUGGAUUAGCUAGUUGGUGGGGUAAUGGCCUACCAAGGCGACGAUCCAUAGCUGGUCUGAGAGGAUGAUCAGCCACACUGGGACUGAGACACGGCCCAGACUCCUACGGGAGGCAGCAGUGGGGAAUAUUGGACAAUGGGCGCAAGCCUGAUCCAGCCAUGCCGCGUGAGUGAUGAAGGUCUUAGGAUUGUAAAGCUCUUUCACCGGUGAAGAUAAUGACGGUAGCCGGAGAAGAAGCCCCGGCUAACUUCGU